UACAGAGGUCUCAAGCGUUGUUCGGAUUCAUUGGGCGUAAAGGGUGCGUAGGCGGCGCGGUAAGUCGGGUGUGAAAUCUCGGGGCUUAACUCCGAAACUGCAUUCGAUACUGCCGUGCUUGAGGACUGGAGAGGAGACUGGAAUUUACGGUGUAGCGGUGAAAUGCGUAGAUAUCGUAAGGAAGACCAGUGGCGAAGGCGGGUCUCUAUCUCGAUUCUGACGCUGAGGCGCGAAAGCUAGGGGAGCAAACGGG
This 253-nucleotide ribosomal RNA is filed under the name uncultured bacterium. RNAcentral's name for it is "partial 16S ribosomal RNA". It matches the Rfam family "Bacterial small subunit ribosomal RNA", at positions 524 to 776 of the family's 1533-position model. The record is from RNAcentral.